CCUACGGGGUGCUGCAGUGGGGAAUAUUGGACAAUGGGCGAAAGCCUGAUCCAGCCAUGCCGCGUGUGUGAAGAAGGCCUUCGGGUUGUAAAGCACUUUCAGUGGGGAAGAAAGCCUUGGGGCUAAUACCCUCGAGGAAGGACAUCACCCACAGAAGAAGCACCGGCUAACUCCGUGCCAGCAGCCGCGGUAAUACGGAGGGUGCGAGCGUUAAUCGGAAUUACUGGGCGUAAAGCGCGCGUAGGCGGUCUGAUAAGCCGGUUGUGAAAGCCCCGGGCUCAACCUGGGAACGGCAUCCGGAACUGUCAGGCUAGAGUGCAGGAGAGGAAGGUAGAAUUCCCGGUGUAGCGGUGAAAUGCGUAGAGAUCGGGAGGAAUACCAGUGGCGAAGGCGGCCUUCUGGACUGACACUGACGCUGAGGUGCGAAAGCGUGGGUAGCAAACAGGAUUAGAUACCCUAGUAGU
RNAcentral lists this ribosomal RNA (464 nucleotides) under Vreelandella stevensii. RNAcentral's name for it is "partial 16S ribosomal RNA". It matches the Rfam family "Bacterial small subunit ribosomal RNA", at positions 338 to 794 of the family's 1533-position model. The record is from RNAcentral. Lineage: Bacteria; Pseudomonadati; Pseudomonadota; Gammaproteobacteria; Oceanospirillales; Halomonadaceae.